GAGGGUGUUAUGUGGGGCAGUGAGUGUGUGUUAUGUGGGGCAGCAGGGCAGUGAUGGUGUGUUAUGUGGGGCAGUGAGGGUGUUAUGUGGGGCAGCAGGGCAGUGAGGGUGCGUUAUGGGGGCAGUGAGGGGUGUUAUGUGGGGCAGCAGGGCAGUGAGGGUGCGUUAUGGGGGGCAGUGAGGGUGUGUUAUGUGGGGCAGCACGGCAGUGAGGGUGUAUGUGGGGCAGUGAGGGGUGUAUGUGGGGCAGUGAGGGUGUUAUGUGGGGCAGUGAGGGUGUUAUGUGGGGCAGUGAGGGUGUGUUAUGUGGGGCAGCAGGGCAGUGAUGGUGUGUUAUGUGGGGCAGUGAGGGUGUUAUGUGGGGCAGCAGGGCAGUGAUGGUGUGUUAUGUGGGGCAGUGAGGGUGUGUUAUGUGGGCAGUGAGGGUGUGUUAUGGGGG
Molecule: long non-coding RNA, 439 nt
Organism: Oncorhynchus tshawytscha (Chinook salmon)
Lineage: Eukaryota; Metazoa; Chordata; Actinopteri; Salmoniformes; Salmonidae
Source: Ensembl